This 264-nucleotide unclassified non-coding RNA is filed under the name Hevea brasiliensis (rubber tree). Lineage: Eukaryota; Viridiplantae; Streptophyta; Magnoliopsida; Malpighiales; Euphorbiaceae. The record is from RNAcentral.
AGAAACAGAUGCCUCAAAUGCAAACAUGUGAAAAAUGAAGGUGGCAAUUUGAAUUGUCUCGGAAGUUUAAGAACAAGGUGUUGGAUUCUGUUUCGAGAGAGGAAAUAUAAUAAGUUGUCAAUAGGAGGGUAGAUUUCCCAAUACUGAAUGCAAAGGGUAAACUUUGUAAGUGGUCCUGAAUGGCGGGUGAUAAUGUUGUGGAUAGUCAUUGUAAAGUUACUGGUAGCUCUUUUAUCACCUGUAAGGUCCUUUUUAGAUUUCCAA